CUGGAUAGCAACAAGAGUUUUUGCCAUGCUUGGAUUUGUAACUGGUGUCAUUGUGACGUCAGUGUUUCUAUGGUUCCUUUACAGAAGAACAGGGACUGGACGUUGCUCUCAUGGUUUUAUAGUGAUUGGAUGUUUAAUUACAGGGGGCUUACUAGGUAUUUCUCUUGCAGUCUUUUAUGCAGCAGUCAAUGAUCUGGCCAGUAAUGAAAAUAUCAAGAUCAGUUUUUCUUUCGGGAUGACCUGUAUUGCGGCAAUUUUAUACGUUUUCAAUGGAUUUACUUUAGUGUUUGCCAUAUGCACAGGGUCUGGCACCAUCGGAAGAAAAAGUACCAAAUCACUUAAAGAAGAGGAGUUUAUUACCUAUUGAAUUUUAAGUUUAGUGAAGUGAUGUUUUUAUGUCGUAUUGUAAAUAUUUCUAUUGUGGAUAUUUGCAAGAACAUGUUUUAUGAAAUUUAUGACAAAGGUAUAAAAUCAGGGCCGAGCGAUUUUUUUUUCAACGGGAGUUAUGUCCCCUGGAAAUGUAAAUUAUAUGAACAAUCUCGGAAUAUCGGCGGGGGACAUUGACAGCUCUGUUGUUAUCUUUUAUAUUUGUAAAAAAACAAAUUCUCUGGUUAAAAUUGUUAAAUCAAGAUGAAUAAAAAUACUUUUUACGA
This is a long non-coding RNA of Mytilus californianus (California mussel), 653 nucleotides long. RefSeq lists it as uncharacterized. The transcript is spliced from 2 exons. The record is from RefSeq and is a predicted model, not a curated record. Lineage: Eukaryota; Metazoa; Mollusca; Bivalvia; Mytilida; Mytilidae.